This 465-nucleotide long non-coding RNA is filed under the name Mytilus galloprovincialis (Mediterranean mussel). Lineage: Eukaryota; Metazoa; Mollusca; Bivalvia; Mytilida; Mytilidae. The record is from RNAcentral.
GUCAAUAGAACAAAUGGUGUAUUCAAUAACAUACACAACAAUUAAUCCAAUAGAAUAACAAACGGUACCGAUUAAAUAACAUAUACAACAAUUAAACCAAUAAAAUGACAAAUGGGAAUAUAUAACAUUCUGACCAAUGCUUAUAUUCCAAAUAUAUGUGUAUAUGCCGCUAUUAUUGUUGUUGUUACCAAUUGUGUAAAUAAAUUGUAUCUGAUUUUAUGCCCUUUAUGGGCCCUGUAAUUUGGGAAAUAAAAAUAUUCUAUUCUAUUUUAUAAGAAAAUACAAAAAAAAAAUCAACCAAUAGAAUAACAUACGGUAUAUAAAACAAAAUACAAACAAAAUCAAUUCAGGAAAAACUCAACAUACACAACAAUUCAAUAAAUAGAACAACAAAUGGUACAUAAAACAACAUACACAACAAUUCAAUAAAUAGAACAACAAAUGGUACAUAAAACAACAUACACA